AUGUGGCUGAUUUUAUCAAUGUGUGCACUGGUUAAAGCUUUCCAUGCGGACUUCUCGGAAACAGGAUCUGGUUCUGCGGACUCAGAGAGAUUCAACACACAUCUGAACAUGUUUACACAAAGAGUGGAUUUGCUUGAGCAGCUUUCUGGUUUGGUAUCAAACAGCAGAAACGUUAGCCUCUAUGAGGAGGAUCAAGGUUGCCCAGUGCUGGACAUUGGCCUGUACUCCACACUCACUAUGCCCAGCCAUGAAGCAUUUGGAUCAAGCUUUGCAGAUGAGUUCAGUGUGCUGAUUCAACUGCGAAGCUCUCAGGACGUCGAGCGAAGUCUGUUGACUUUGCUGAACUUCUACAAUCACAUUUUACUCCAGAUCCGAAUUGGCCCACACAGCAUCACCUUCAUCACCACUCAACGCCGGGACUAUGAGUUUUCAGUGUCAGGACUGGCAGACUCGCAGUGGCACUGGAUCUCGAUUGGGGUUGCGUUUGAAUGGCUGGCUGUAUAUGUGGACUGCGUGCUGGUGGAGAAAGUCAGCUGGAUGUACCCGUACAUGGGCAUCACUACAGAUGGUCUACUUAUGGUCGGCGGCAUCCUGGAAGGGUUUGAGACCCCUUUUGAGGGAGAGCUGAGACAGAUGACCUUCAUAAUGGGAGAUGCAAAUGCUGCCAAGGAUCAUUGUGAGCUUCAUCAGCAUAUGUGUGGACACAGCCUUUUUAAGAUGGAAAGUAGCGCUGAGGGCCCUUUGCCACCCUCAGCUGGCUCAACAGCAGACACAACGUUCACAUCAGAUCCCUCCACUGCCACAGAUGACACAGCCAAUAUGCAUUCAGUUCCCGAGCUCAGGCCUGAACCCAGAGAAUCACAUGGUUUGCAUAAAAGCUCAGAGAAACAGUUCCACGGUGAGUAAUUAUGCAGCUAUGAAUGGACAAAGCCAGAGUACAAUGUGGGGAGAAUGAACCUCAGCUGGAGAAGACGGAUGACUUCAGAGGUCAGGAAAUUGAAUAAAUGGGUAAGAAGGGAUCCCUAGGUCCUCUCAUUUGUCCUUAUAAAGCUGUUGCUGUAUUUUCCUUCAUGGGGAGGGCGAUGAUAAAUUAUCAUCAUGGGAACCGUCCUGUUUCAGCGCAGUGCUGUAACAGAGAGAAGCUGUGCCGAGAUGGUGGGUCGUGUUUGAUAAACGCCCCAUCUGGGAAAGAGCGGGCAGCUUGAGAGUUUGCUGGCGCACUCCAGGAACAGCUCCAAUGCUUGCAAAUUGCCUGGAAAUUCAUUAGACUCCUUUAUUGCUUUGCACUUGAGGUGAGCUCUGUGCACAGCAAGGCAUUCGUUCAGAAGUUUACUGGGCUUAUAUUUGACAUAUAUUAGGAUUCGACUGCAUUUAUGAUUGCGGCUACAAUGUUGGACACUGUCUGUAUAGGUGGCUGUGGGUGUGGGCUCUGAUACUUGCAGCUUUAAUGAGACGUCCUGCCCAUGUAAAAACACCCACCUGGAGGACCAAAAAAGACUUUCUUCCAAUGACGGCCGUUCAUACUAAGACAGUAUUAUUUUAAAAAGGACCAAAUUCUGAAUACACUGAUUGAUGCAAAGAUGUAAAGUUUAACAGUUUCACUCGGAACACAAUGUGCU
Molecule: long non-coding RNA, 1619 nt
Organism: Danio rerio (zebrafish)
Lineage: Eukaryota; Metazoa; Chordata; Actinopteri; Cypriniformes; Danionidae
Source: Ensembl